This 516-nucleotide ribosomal RNA is filed under the name uncultured archaeon. RNAcentral describes it as "bacterial SSU rRNA". It matches the Rfam family "Archaeal small subunit ribosomal RNA", at positions 93 to 593 of the family's 1478-position model. The record is from RNAcentral.
GUAACACCUUUCAACCUGCCCUGGAGACAUGGAAAACCCCGGGAAACUGGGAUUAAUCCGUGAUAGGUCACCUCAUCUGGAAGGAGAGAUGGCUUAAAGGGGUGCGAGAGCUUCUUUCUUGCAUUCGCUCCAGGAUGGGACUGCGGCCGAUCAGGCUGUUGGCGGUGUAAUGGACCACCAAACCUGUAACCGGUACGGGCCUUGAGAGAGGGGGCCCGGAGAUGGACACUGAGAGAAGGGUCCAGGUCCUACGGGGCGCAGCAGGCGCGAAACCUUCGCAAUGCGCGAAAGCGUGACGAGGUUAAUCCGAGUGGUCCCCGCUGAGGGGAUCUUUUGUUGGCUGUAAAAAGGCCGAUGAAUAAGGGGAGGGCAAGUCUGGUGUCAGCCGCCGCGGUAAUACCAGCUCCUCGAGUGGUCGGGGCGAUUAUUGGGCCUAAAGCAUCCGUAGCCGGUUCUGUAGGUCCUCUGUCAAAUCCAACGGCUUAACCGUUGGCCCGCAGAGGAUACCGCAGGACU